This 459-nucleotide ribosomal RNA is filed under the name uncultured bacterium. Its description in RNAcentral is "partial 16S ribosomal RNA". It matches the Rfam family "Bacterial small subunit ribosomal RNA", at positions 338 to 795 of the family's 1533-position model. The record is from RNAcentral.
CCUACGGGUGGCUGCAGUGAGGAAUAUUGGUCAAUGGGAGAGAUCCUGAACCAUCCCCGCCUCUUUCUUGCCGCCUUCCCUCUUUUUUUUCCCCCUCUUUUGUCGGAGAACAAAACCCGGGACGUGUCCCGGACUGCGUGUAUCCGAAGAAAAAGCAUCGGCUAACUCCGUGCCAGCAGCCGCGGUAAUACGGAGGAUGCGAGCGUUAUCCGGAUUUAUUGGGUUUAAAGGGUGCGUAGGCGGUCCGUUAAGUCAGCGGUAAAAUUGCGGGGCUCAACCCCGUCGAGCCGUUGAAACUGGCAGACUUGAGUUGGCGAGAAGUACGCGGAAUGCGCGGUGUAGCGGUGAAAUGCAUAGAUAUCGCGCAGAACUCCGAUUGCGAAGGCAGCGUACCGGCGCCAGACUGACGCUGAGGCACGAAAGCGUGGGGAUCGAACAGGAUUAGAUACCCCUGUAGUC